UGAAUCCUCAUUCCCACCCCAUUUCAAUUUUCAUCAAACCCUAAUUUCCCAUCUCUCAACCUCGUCUCUGUCUUUAGUUCUUCUACAUUCAACCUAGAACCGACACCGUCCUUGGGUUGAUUCAUCUUCAACAUCGUACCGAUCUGUUUUUCAGAUCCAGUUUUUUGGUGUGAAGAUGGUUGCAGCCACGACUGAACUUGUCUGAAAGAAAUUAAUGGUGAAUGUUAGUUGUUUGAUUAAAUGUCUGAAAGAAUUUGAUUGUGAAUAGAGUAUGUAGACAAGAUCUUUUUAUCUUGAAAAGGAUUGGAAAGAUCAUUUUUUGGUUGCUAAUUAUAUAUAUUUUUUAUUUACAUGUGCUGAUGAUUUUUAGUUCUUUUUUAAUGUACUGUCACGACCCUUGAUGUUAAGUCAAGAAAGGUGUUGUUGGUAUCUUAGGCUCCUUGCAUAUUUCAACUUCUUAUUCAUGUGAUGACUUUUGACAUGUCCUUAUCAAGGAGAAGAAUGUGUGUGGAAAGUAAGAGUUGAGCUACCAGAUACUUAUUCUUAUAAAUCUCCUUUCAUGGGCUUCAUCAAUAAGAUUUAUCACCCAAAUGUUAUUAAGAUGCCAGGAUCAAUUUGUCUUGGUGUUAUCAAUCAAACAUGGAGUCAGAGAACAAAGAGAAAGUAGCAGGCAAGAGUUAUAAGCAAAGAGCCUGUCAUAGAACAAUAGCCUGGUUUGUGUGUUCGGUUCCCUAUUAAAUGUAGUCAUAAUAUUAAGGAAGAGGACCAUUGGAGAGAGAAGCAGGAAUCCAAUUGUUGAUUUUGAAUACUAUUUAUGUGUUAUGAUUUUAUUGAAAGAGUGUGACUAUUUGCUGGCAGCAGACUUUUUGAUUUGGUUUGUAUGGCGCAGGUUUUCCUUAUGAAGUUGCUGCACCUGUUAUCGUGGUUCCUGAUUCGGUCG
Molecule: long non-coding RNA, 940 nt
Organism: Vicia villosa (hairy vetch)
Lineage: Eukaryota; Viridiplantae; Streptophyta; Magnoliopsida; Fabales; Fabaceae
Exons: 3
Source: RefSeq, a predicted model, not a curated record